CCCCUAGAUGUUCUGGGCCGCACGCGCGCUACACUGAACAGUUCAACAAGUCUUAACCUUGGCCGAUAGGUCUGGGUAAUCUUUGAACGCUGUUCGUGAUUGGGAUAGACCUUUGCAAUUAUGGGUCUUCAACGAGGAAUUCCUAGUAAACGCAAGUCAUCAGCUUGCAUUGAUUACGUCCCUGCCCUUUGUACACACCGCCCGUCGCACCUACCGAUUGAAUGGUCCGGUGAAAUCUCGGGACGGCGGCUUGGUCGCUUGCGUCCGACUGCUGAAACUUGAUUAAACCUUAUCAUUUAGAGGAAGGUGAAGUCGUANCA
RNAcentral lists this ribosomal RNA (320 nucleotides) under uncultured eukaryote. RNAcentral's name for it is "partial 18S ribosomal RNA". It matches the Rfam family "Eukaryotic small subunit ribosomal RNA", at positions 1470 to 1796 of the family's 1831-position model. The record is from RNAcentral.